Non-coding RNA from Myodes glareolus (Bank vole), 994 nucleotides. The record is from RefSeq and is a predicted model, not a curated record. NCBI's taxonomy places the organism in Eukaryota, Metazoa, Chordata, Mammalia, Rodentia, Cricetidae.
GGCUGAGGUACUCAAGGCCAAUCUCGCUCCCUGUUCAGCCUCCCACGGAGGCUGGAAGGACAGACUGUGCCAGGAGCAGAGAGCACUGCCAGCCCUGACCUUGAUAUUUAGCAAAGGAUUGUAAUAUUUUCAAAAUACACAUCUCUCCUAGGAGUGCUUGGAAGGACCCAACUGCGGUUUUGUAAGUCUAAGAUCUCUGUCAAAUUCAUCAAGGCUUGGCUUAACCUGGGCAAGUCAGACCCCUUACAGAAGCAUUCUGCAGCUCCCCACACAGGCAACUCAACAAUUCAAACCUAUAUUCAAGGUCUCUGCUGUAACGGUCAUGUUCCCCAGAGGCUCAAAUGUUCAAUACCUGGACUCUACCUAGUGAUGCUAUUUCCAGAGGUAGGGCUUGAGGAAGGAGGUCCUUAGGGGUGUGCUUUAGACAGUUAUAGCUGGUUCUGGGUCCCUUCCUGUUUCCUGUCCAUUGCAGGUGAGAAACCUCAUCCUCAUAUCGCUAGCACCAUGGUAUUCUGCCUUACUGUAGAUCUAGAAUCAAUGGAGGCAAGCACCCGGCUGAAAUUUCUGGAGUAGUAAGCCAAAAAAGAAGCAAAAUCAGAAUCAACACUGACAACUUAACAAUCAAAAUGUUGCGUCUGGAGAGAUGGCUCAGAGGUUAAAAGCACUUGCUGCUCUUCCAGAGGACUUGAGUUCAGAUCCAGCACCCACAUUGGGCAGCUUACAGUUGCCUGUGACUUCAGUUCAAGGGGAUCUGGCACCCCCUGGCUUCUGCAAACAACUGCACAUGCAUAGCGCGCACACACACACAGACACCUAAAUAAAAAUAGCUUAAAAAUCAAAAUAUUGAUCACCUGAAGAAAGUCAAGGAUCUUUUAUGUCUUAGAGUAUCACAUAUCCAUCAAAGAUUUAAUUGUUUCUAAAAAUAAUCAUAACCAUCUCAGAAUGAAAAUUUACCUUUAUUCAUAAUAAAUGAUAGAAUUAUAUGUAUAUAAAA